This 320-nucleotide ribosomal RNA is filed under the name uncultured eukaryote. RNAcentral describes it as "partial 18S ribosomal RNA". It matches the Rfam family "Eukaryotic small subunit ribosomal RNA", at positions 1470 to 1796 of the family's 1831-position model. The record is from RNAcentral.
CCCCUAGAUGUUCUGGGCCGCACGCGCGCUACACUGAACAGUUCAACAAGUCUUAACCUUGGCCGAUAGGUCUGGGUAAUCUUUGAACGCUGUUCGUGAUUGGGAUAGACCUUUGCAAUUAUGGGUCUUCAACGAGGAAUUCCUAGUAAACGCAAGUCAUCAGCUUGCAUUGAUUACGUCCCUGCCCUUUGCACACACCGCCCGUCGCACCUACCGAUUGAAUGGUCCGGUGAAAUCUCGGGACGGCGGCUUGGUCGCUUGCGUCCGACUGCUGAAACUUGAUUAAACCAUAUCAUUUAGAGGAAGGUGAAGUCGUANCA